GAAACUUAUUGCUAGUAUUUCUGCUACAAAUUGGACUCAAAACUUGCUUUCAUACUCGGUCACUGAUGAAGGAGCAGUGGCUUCGACAGAGUCUAGUCCACCUCAAGUCUAUGAUGAAUUCACAAUUUCUGGCAGAAAAACUAAUAGAGAACCAACUUAUGUCACCCUUCAGAAUGGAAGCUUUGCUUUGUUCGCCAAUUCUUCUCCGCCAAGUGCGCCAGAUCGCUCCCAAUCCAUUCCCGAC
RNAcentral lists this unclassified non-coding RNA (244 nucleotides) under Hevea brasiliensis (rubber tree). Lineage: Eukaryota; Viridiplantae; Streptophyta; Magnoliopsida; Malpighiales; Euphorbiaceae. The record is from RNAcentral.